UGCAUCUUGAUUCAAAGACAACUGGGAGA
Molecule: non-coding RNA, 29 nt
Filed under: Rattus norvegicus (Norway rat)
Lineage: Eukaryota; Metazoa; Chordata; Mammalia; Rodentia; Muridae
Source: RNAcentral